CCUCGCUGCAGGUCGACGUUUUAUAGAAUAUACAAGAACAAAUCGACUGAAAGUUUCCAGUCUCUACCGUACCAAGUGUCACUAUUUAGCUGCAUGAUAUGACUCUAUUACGCAUUGACUAAACAACACGCUUUUCUCCUAAUUACCAUAAACUCCUUCGGCUGCGUCGUGGAAACUAUCUACAUCGCCAUGUUCUUCACUUACGCUACCAAGGAGAAAAGGAUGGCGGCUAUUAAGUUGUUCU
Long non-coding RNA from Brassica rapa (field mustard), 244 nucleotides. RefSeq lists it as uncharacterized. Lineage: Eukaryota; Viridiplantae; Streptophyta; Magnoliopsida; Brassicales; Brassicaceae. The record is from RefSeq and is a predicted model, not a curated record.